Molecule: long non-coding RNA, 768 nt
Filed under: Parus major (Great Tit)
Lineage: Eukaryota; Metazoa; Chordata; Aves; Passeriformes; Paridae
Description: lncRNA (ENSPMJG00000004673.1)
Source: RNAcentral
CCGAGCCCUUUCCAGGACGGCUCGAAGCCUUUGUCCCUCUCCAGGGCUGCCCCUGGAACAGACCCAGCGCUGUUGGGUUCCAGCUGCAGCAGCCUGUGCGAGGGCAGGCGGUGCCUGCUGCCUCCGGCCCGGCUGUGCCGUGGGGAGGGAGGAGGGAGGCCGGGGCUGUGAGGGCUCUGGAACACCCAGGAGUGAUGACAGAUCCUUCUGGGGCAAAGAUUGGCAUGAAACACUGACUGCUCAGGGAAAAAAAAAUAAUAAAAAAAAAGCUGUGAAAAUGUAAAAGGAAAAAGAUGAGUUCCAGUUUGCUACAAGGGCUGAAUGAGGGGAACCACCUCCCUUGAUGGAUCUCGGAGAUGAAGCAGCCCUUUCCACGAAAAGCCUUGGCUGGAGCCGUGUUUGCCAUCCGUGCCCGUCUCCUCCAUCCAGGCUGGGAGCGCUGGGAUGGAGCAGGAAAGGAGCCCCCGUGACACUCAACCUGCUCACCCGUUCCAAAAUAUUACACACGGACAGGAGCUUGCGCCUCCAGGGAUUCCCUGGGAUUAAAAAGCACCCAGGCACUGGACACCGGGCUUUUUCCCUAAUUUCCCAAUUUCCCAGAGUCCCUUCCUGGGUACAAGGGACGCCCCCAGCCCUAGAGCCGAUUGGGGCUCCAGUUUCACAUCCAUAAAUAAAUGCCAAAGUGAGCUCCGGUGGCUGAAGGGUUCCCCCCUAGCCCAGCCCGUGCAGUCUCCAGACACAAAUAAAUCCAUGGAGACAAAGGGAGCA